CUAACCCUAAUCAUUUUCCAAAACCAGCCGCCCCCAAAUUCCCUCUUUUCUUAAAUGUUUUCUAAAGCCACUCGAAAACCUAGCCGUCUGUCAUCUUCUUCGACCAAACUCACCGGCGUCCAUGGCUUCCCAGGCCAUGGACAGCCUAUCUCUUCCCUUCACCCCCCAAGCCAUGGUUGUUCGAAGGUUUCAAGGUCCGAUUUUCAACGGACCUGUUCAGGUCCUCCGCCGACUUGAGUUCCUGUGGCUCUUCUGGCUCCAUUCCGGCGUGUUCAAGCUCUUAUAGGCCUAGCCAUGGCUCAGACCUACCCAAGACCAGAUCGUUCCAGGCCUUCUUGUUUCUAGAGUUUUUGAGAAACCUUAAAAAAUCUUGUUCGAGAUUCUAUCUUUCCUUGUUUUCUUAUAUCUGUAACAGAUAUGUGCUCUAUUCGAUGUUUUAAUGAUUUUCC
Molecule: long non-coding RNA, 449 nt
Filed under: Nicotiana benthamiana
Lineage: Eukaryota; Viridiplantae; Streptophyta; Magnoliopsida; Solanales; Solanaceae
Description: long non-coding RNA (NBEN_LNC039713)
Source: RNAcentral